Molecule: ribosomal RNA, 255 nt
Filed under: uncultured bacterium
Lineage: Bacteria
Description: partial 16S ribosomal RNA
Source: RNAcentral
CUGCUGCCUCCCGUAGGAGUUUGGGCCGUGUCUCAGUCCCAAUGUGGCCGUCCACCCUCUCAGGCCGGCUACUGAUCGUCGCUUUGGUAGGCCGUUACCCUGCCAACUGGCUAAUCAGACGCGGGUCCAUCGUAUGCCACCGGAGUUUUUCACACAAAAGCAUGCGCUCUCGUGCGCUUAUGCGGUGUUAGCACCUAUUUCUAAGUGUUAUCCCCCUGCAUACGGCAGGUUACCCACGCGUUACUCACCCGUCCG